UACGGGAGCAUGAAGGGUGCACGGUGGAUGCCUUGGCCUAGAGCGGCGAUGAAGGACGUGAUUAGCCUGCGAUAAGCUUCGGGGAGGCGGCUAUUAGCCUGUGAUCCGGAGAUGUCCGAAUGGGGAAACCCCUCUACUUCUAGUAGAGAUCCGUGGAGUCAUGUCCACGAGAAGCGAACCCGGGGAAGUGAAACAUCUCAGUACCCGGAGGAAAAGAGAACAAUAGGAAUGUGUCUCCGUGCGCACAUGCUUGUGCGUAUGGAGACCCAUUCCACGUCAUUCCCCAAGUAGCGGCGAGCGAAAAGGGAGAAGCCCAAACCGUACUCUUCGGAGGACGGGGUUGUAAGGUAUGGACGUCUAGCUUGCUAGAGAAGAGUUACCAAUCGUCAUCAUAGCCGAAGCUGCUGGGAAGCAGCGCCCCAGAGGGUAAUGGCCCCGUAGGCGAAAUGCUGACGACUCUUUUGUCCAUAUUCUUGAGUAGUUCGAGACAUGAAUAGCUCGAAUGAAUCUGCCGGAACUAACCGGUAAGGCUACAUACGCUCUAUGACCGAUAGCGAACUAGUACCGUGAGGGAAAGGUGAAAAGCACCCCGAGAGGGGAGUGAAAUAGAACUGAAACCGUGCACUUACAAAGGGUCGGAGCCCGUUCCCGCAAGGGAGGGUGACGGCGUGCCUAUUGAAGAAUGAGCCUGCGAGUGUAUCUACGUCGCGUGUCUAAGGGGUUACGCCCCGGAGGCUAAGCGAAAGCGAGCGUUAAUAGCGCGUCUGCGGCGUCGAUACGACCCGAAGCCAGGUGAGCUUGCCAUGAGCAGGGUGAAGGUUGCCGAAAGGCAGCUGGAGGCCCGAACCCGUUCGUCGUACAACGCGUUGGGAUGACUUGUGGUAAGGAGUGAAAAGCUAAUCGAACCUGGGAAUAGCUGGUUCUCUCCGAAACAGCUUUUGGGCUGGCGUCGCCAUAUGCGCAGUGGGGGGUAGAGCACUGGAAGGGGCCAACAGGGAGAAAUCUCGUGGUCCCUAUCAAACUCCGAAUACCCGCUGCUCGGGCGGCAGUUAGAAGGUGGGGGCGAAGCUCCAUCGAUCGAGAAGGGAAGAGCCUAGAUCGCCAGUUAAGGCCCCAAAAUCGACGCUCAGUACAUCACAAGGAAGUGCGGAUUCACUGACAGCGAGGAUGUUGGCUUAGAAGCAGCCACCAUUCAAAGAAAGCGUAACAGCUCACUCGUCGAGAGUCCGUGCGCCGAAGAUGAUCGGGGUUAAGCGUCGUGCCGAAACUGCGGGUUUGCCGCGUACGUGUACGCGGCAAGCGGUAGGAGAGCGUUCUGUUCGCGAUGAAGCCGCAGGGGUGACCCGCGGUGGAGCGUUCAGAAGUGAGAAUGCAGGUACAAGUAACCACAAUGCGGGUGAGAACCCCGCACGUCGAAAGACCAAGGUUUCCGGAGCUAUGGUGAUCAUCUCCGGGUUAGUCGGGCCUAAGGGGAUGGCGAGAGCCGCACCCGAUGGACACACGGUCAAUAUUCCGUGACCGUUCGUAAGGCGAAGGAGUGACGGACUGCUGUAGCUGCCGCCCAUUAUUGGAUUUGGGUCGGCGCGGUGAGCGCGCGUGGUAGGCAAAUCCGCCACGCACUAGCGCGAGCCGCGACGCAAUUUCCUCCUACGGGGGGAGAGAGGGCAGCGAGCGCGGUUCCAAGAAAACCUCCUAGCAUUCAACUUGCGAACGACCGUACCGCAAACCGACACAGGUGGUCAGGGCGAGUAGCCCAAGACGAACGAGUGAGAGAUCCUCAAGGAACUCGGCAAACAAGCGGCCGUAAGUUCGCGAUAAGGCCUGCCCCUUCGCCCGCAAGGGCGGCGGGGCCGCAGCGAAAGAUUGCCUGGCAACUGUUUACCAAAAACACAGCUCCCUGCGAACUCGUAAGAGGAAGUAUAGGGGGUGACGCCUGACCGAUGCCGGUAGGUUAAGUACGGGCGGUACAUGCUUUCGGGUAUGUGCUGGACUGUAUAUGCCCCGGUGAAUGUCGGCGAUAACUAUGGACGAUCGUAGUUAUAAAAUUCAGCUAAAUGCGGGAAACUCUGGUUAGGACUCCGCGCUACUCGGGAUGAAAGACUCCCUGUAACAAUGCGCGAGUGCAGACAAUCCGCAGGAAAGACCCAACAUGAAAAACAUCAACGACAUACCGCCCCAUAUAGGGUGGUACAUCGCAGGAUUCGUAGACGGAGAAGGGAGCUUCAACGUUUCCUUCCGUCAGCGGCCUGAUCAUACGAUCGGGUGGCAGACGGUACUAACGUUCAAUGUCGCGCAACGCGACAAGACCGUGCUCGCGCUUAUGAAGCAGCACCUUGGGUGCGGUCGACUGCAAGCGCGACGCGAUGGCGUCUGGUACUACGUCGUGGCGAAUCCGCGAUCCAUAGAAGAGCGGAUCAUUCCGUUCUUCGAGCGGUUCGGAUUCUUGUCCGCUAAAUCCAAGAAGAACUUCAAACUCUUCAAGGACAUCGCGCACCAGGUGUUUCAGAAGAAGCAUCUGACACGGCAAGGGCUCGAAGAGAUAGCGCAACUUCGCGAACUUCUGAACGAAGGUCGCGGCAGGAAGCGCAAAUAUACCAUCGAGCAUAUCGUUGGCGAUGGGGUUGGGAAUCCUCAGAGACUACACGCUGAACUGGGCGAGAGCUCAGAUGAUAUAGUCCGAACUCACGGGCGAUCGUGAGAGUUGCCGCUUCGCGGCAGAGUAACAAAGUGAAUCGUCCUAAGGUCUCACGCUCGACGACAGUCGAACGUGGGAGGAUUGGGACCCAUUAUAGUCGGUAAAUAGGUUGCGCUAUUCGAAGCUACCUUCCGGUAUAGCAAUGUACCGGUUAAUCCUAAACACGACUCACAUGAGAGGCCAUACGUCGUGCCCGUUUCGGCGGUGAAGAUAUGGUCCAGGUUCGAGGAAUACCUGAGCGCAAUUCCUUGUCGGGUAAAUUCCGACGUGCACGAAUGGCGUAAUGACUGGGCAGCUGUCUCGAGGAUUCGCUCGGUGAAAAUGCACUUCCGGUGAAGAUGCCGGAUACCUGUAGUUAGACGAAAAGACCCCAGGAGCUUUACUACAGCUUCGUAUUGGCCCUGCGGGAUGUAUGCGUAGCAUAGGUGGGAGAGGUUGAAGCGGCGCUCUUGGGUGCCGUGGACUCGUCAGUGAAAUACCACUCUUACAUCCGGCAGUGCCUAACCGGUAGGGCGGAACCCUAUCGGGACCGUGCGUGGCAGGUAGUUUUGGUGGGGCGCUAUCCUCCUAAAAAGUAACGGAGGAGCCUAUUAAGGUCAGCUAGGCGCGAAUGGAAACCGUGCCGAUAGUGUAAUGGCAUAAGCUGGCUUAACUGCAAGGGGGACAUCCCGAGCAGAUGCGAAAGCAGAGCAUAGUGAUCCGACCUUCCGCCUUAGACGCGGAGGAAGCUCAACGGAUAAAAGUUACCCUGGGGAUAACAGGCUAGUUCCGCCCAAGCGUCCAUAGCGACGGCGGAGUUCGGCACCUCGAUGUCGGCUCACCUUAGCGCGGGGGUGGAGAAGCUCCCAAGCGUUUGGCUGUUCGCCAAUUAAAAAGGUACGCGAGCUGGGUUCAGACCGUUCAGUUCCUGUCCCUCCGGACGGAGAUUGAACGGUCUGAACCCCGAGGAAGACUGUUAGCUGCACGAGACGCAGUGUGCGUAAACGACAACAAUUCACGGCGGCGCGGUACAGGAAUGUAGCGCGACCAUCUCAACUGAUAUCGGAAGAACCCAUCUCUCAUGGGCCAUUCCGAGGGAAGUCGCAAGACGCCCCGAGAGACUGCAUGUUGAGCACCGAGAACCGGUGAAGGUACAGUCCGAUCCUCCGAGUAAUCGGAGUAACGAAAUGCGUGAGACAGGUUGGUCUCCUAUCUACUACAGGCGUUGAUUCUUGCGGAGGGUUGUCCCUAGUAAGAAAUUGCUACUUCAGAGAGAGAUCUCUGAUGACAAUGCGGCUUAUAACGGUGAAGUCUACGGCUCACCUGGCCCGAGAGUGCGGUAUCCGAUGGUCCAGUGGAUAUCGAACUCGCUUGAGGACCAGAUUGACGCUACGAUAAUACCGUGGGAAGUCGAUCAAGUAUUACCUCCACAGACCUAGCGUAUAUCGCGGGCUUCUUGGACGGAGACGGCAGUCUCAUGCUCCAGGUGAAGCGCCGCGGCGACUCUACGCGGGGCGUGCGUUUCAUGGCGACCAUAUGUCUCUAUCAGGACACGCGUCAUGCAGCGCCGCUCUCGUGGGUACGCACGCGACUACAGUGCGGCUACAUAUCGCGCCGGAACGACGGCAUGACGGAAUUGCGUAUCAACGGCUUCGCGCAGGUGCGCGAAUGCCUCGAGACGCUCCUGCCAUACCUGCGUUUCAAGCGGACUCAAGCGAGCGUGCUUAUCAAGGCAUGCAAGAAACUUGAGGAACAAACGAUACGUACCAUACCGAAGCGCGAAUUGCGCGCGCUCGUCGCGCUCUUGUUGCAGAUUCAGAAUGAAAAUUAUGCAAGCAAGAGGCGCAGGACGAGCGAAGAUCUGCACAAAAUACUUGGUUUGACCCCGUAACGACUAGCGUUGAAAGACACGCUGAGUCAUGGGUUGAGGAAUCAUUCCAUCGAGAAUGACUGCUCCCAUGACUAAGAUGCCGCCGCCCUAGUCUGCCACGUGGCGGAAAGGGCGAAGAUAUAGUCUGCGCUCCUGGAAACAGGGGAAUACGUGACGAGAGGACCGGGAUGAACUGACCUCUGGUGUAUCGGCUGUCGCGCCAGCGGCACUGCCGAGUAGCUAUGUCGGGUAGCGAUAACCGCUGAAAGCAUAUAAGCGGGAAGCGCGCUCCAAGAUCAGGAAUCGUUUGAGGCCCCUCGAAGACUACGAGGUUGAUAGGCUCUAGGUAGAAGCGCCGCGAGGCGUGGAGCCGAGGAGUACUAAUGGCUCGAGUCUCUCGUACG
This 4948-nucleotide ribosomal RNA is filed under the name Patescibacteria group bacterium. RNAcentral's name for it is "23S ribosomal RNA". The stretch from base 1 to 3644 matches the Rfam family "Bacterial large subunit ribosomal RNA". The record is from RNAcentral.